UCCGGGAUGGUCUAACGGUUAUGAUUUCCGCUUGUCACGCGGGAGACCGGGGUUCGACUCCCCGUCGCGGAG
Molecule: transfer RNA, 72 nt
Filed under: Uncinocarpus reesii 1704
Lineage: Eukaryota; Fungi; Ascomycota; Eurotiomycetes; Onygenales; Onygenaceae
Description: tRNA-Asp (GTC) (tRNA-Asp-GTC-3-1)
Rfam family: tRNA
About the family: Transfer RNA (tRNA) molecules are approximately 80 nucleotides in length. Their secondary structure includes four short double-helical elements and three loops (D, anti-codon, and T loops).
Source: RNAcentral